Molecule: long non-coding RNA, 300 nt
Filed under: Trifolium pratense (red clover)
Lineage: Eukaryota; Viridiplantae; Streptophyta; Magnoliopsida; Fabales; Fabaceae
Description: long non-coding RNA (TPRA_LNC006665)
Source: RNAcentral
UUUGCUAGAAGGAAUGAAUGUAACAAAUGCGGUACUCCAUGUCCUAGCAGUGGUAAUGACCGCGGCGGUAGUGGUGGUGGUUAUAAUAGAGGAGGAAGUGAUGGAGGAUACGGCAGUAACAGAGGAGGUAGGUCCGGGAACUACGAUGGAGGAAGAAAUAAUGAUUAUAAUGGUGGAAGGAGUAGUAACAAUGAUGGAAGAGGUGGAGGGAGCAAUAGAGGUGGCUCAUAUGGUGGUAAUCAAGGCAGAGAUGAUGGUGGCUAUGGUCAAGCUCCUCCUCCAGCUGCUCCUCAGUCUUAU